GUUAAAGAAGUUUUAAUAAUUGUCUUUUCAUCGGAUAUUAGAAAUACAACUUACAUGUAAGUUAAUAAUUCUUGACCGUGAUCCAAUCAAAAUAUUAAAUUCUUCUUUAAUCUUUACAAUUUUAUCUUAAAUAAAAAUAAAACAUCCAUAAAACAAAUACAAACACACCCAUACACUUUCACUAUAUUUUCUUUUUCUUUUCCUUUCCUUUUCUUUUUUUGUUUUUUACAUACACAAUUUUUACAUGUAAAACAAAUAACAAAAAUUCAAAAUAAAUCAAAUACAAUAAUAUCUAAAUAUACACAUCAUCUGAAAGUUACAACAAAAACACAAAGAAAUCCUCGGGAACAGUGCUGCACAGCCUUGGUGUCGUCUGAACAGCGGCGGCGCGUGGGUCCACGCGCCGCCGGCAGCGAAGACCAGCAUGCUGGUGGAUCGGGAUCGUCUCCUUCUUCUCUUCCCUUCCCUGCCGGCUGGGAGGAACACCACUACCUGCAAUAACAGAAAACGCACAACACAGUCGAUUUUAGUUUUUAUUUCAUUUGUUUUUGAAAUCUGCUUCGGCUUCUUUUCUUCCUCUUUCAGAUCUGCUCCGCUACUCUGCCUCCUCCCUUCUCUGUUUCAGGCGGGUCGGUUUGUUAUGGGUUUGUCUUCGACGGCUGUGCAGCUGCUGAUGGGGAAGGGAUGUUGUGGUGUUCGGCUAUGAGAGGAGAUGGCUGGUGCUGAGUGCAGCCAAGAGAAGGAAGUGGAUGGCUGCUGUGGUGAGGGAGACCGUGGGUCUGAGGAGACGGGGAACGGCUCUGUUGGAGGUGGAAGGAGAGCGGUUGCUGUUGUGAUCGGGUCUGUUCGUUGACCCGGAGAGGGAGGCCGAUGGGUCGGCUGAGAGAGGAGAGGAGUCUGGUGAGGGGAGGAGAUGGUCGUGUCUGUUGGCGUGCGGCUGGAGAUGGGCUGCUGCUGGCCGGUCUUCACUCCUCUUGGCAGAUCCGGCGGGUGUUGAUGCUGGUGCUGUUGCUGAGGGAAGGAAAUGCUGGAGGCGACUGUUCACGGUGGUUGUGAAGGGGGGAGUUGUGGUCGGGUCUGUAUGGGUCUAGGAGGGCAAAGGGAGCUGCUGAGAGGGAGGAUCUGUGGAGAGAAAAAGAGAGAAGGCAGUGUUUUGGGGCUGCUGGAGACGAUGGGGCAGGUUGAGGGAGAAGACAAAAAAAUCAAAAACAAGGGGGGGGGUGGCUCCAAGGCUGGCGGCCAGAAAUGAAGAAGAGGGACAGAUCAGGGGGGAGAGAAGGAAAAUGGAGAGGCUUUGGUCGGGUGUGUGUUGGUCUGUGAGGGGGAUAACAGUGGAGAGGGGAAGGAAACGGUAGAACCAGCCGGGUCAGCAAAAGGAAGGCCACCGGGGGGGGCUGUGUGCAGAGAAGAUAAAAUUUCUCUAGUGGGUGGCGGCGGCUGGGUGUGAAAGAGAUAGGUUUAGGGUUUCUCUUCCCUUUUUUUAUUUGUCAAAAUUGCCCCCCCCCUCUUGAAAAAAAUCAGUGUAGCUUGGUAUUUAUAGGAAAAGUUUUGCUAGGUUUUCAAACUAGUCCCUCAACUUUUCCUUUCCUUCUCUUUUCCUCUUUUUUUGUAAAUUUUGAUUUUUUUUUUUAUUUUUUUGUAUUUUUGAAAGCGAG
RNAcentral lists this long non-coding RNA (1655 nucleotides) under Populus trichocarpa (black cottonwood). RNAcentral describes it as "long non-coding RNA (PTRI_LNC001505)". Lineage: Eukaryota; Viridiplantae; Streptophyta; Magnoliopsida; Malpighiales; Salicaceae. The record is from RNAcentral.